Molecule: ribosomal RNA, 119 nt
Filed under: Betta splendens (Siamese fighting fish)
Lineage: Eukaryota; Metazoa; Chordata; Actinopteri; Anabantiformes; Osphronemidae
Source: RNAcentral
GCUUAUGGCCAUACCACCCUGAGCACGCCUGAUCUCGUUCAAUCUCGGAAGCUAAGCAGGGUCGGGCCUGGUUAGUGCUUGGAUGGGAGACUGCCUAGGAAUACCAGGUGCUGUAAGUU